ACGAACGCUGGCGGCAUGCCUAACACAUGCAAGUCGAACGAUGCCUUCGGGCAUAGUGGCGCACGGGUGCGUAACGCGUGGGAAUCUGCCUUUCGGUUCGGAAUAACUCAGGGAAACUUGAGCUAAUACCGGAUAACGUCGCAAGACCAAAGAUUUAUCACCGAAAGAUGAGCCCGCGUAGGAUUAGCUAGUUGGUGAGGUAAAGGCUCACCAAGGCGACGAUCCUUAGCUGGUCUGAGAGGAUGAUCAGCCACACUGGGACUGAGACACGGCCCAGACUCCUACGGGAAGCAGCAGUGGGGAAUAUUGGACAAUGGGCGAAAGCCUGAUCCAGCAAUGCCGCGUGAGUGAUGAAGGCCUUAGGGUUGUAAAGCUCUUUUACCCGGGAAGAUAAUGACGGUACCGGGAGAAUAAGCCCCGGCUAACUCCGUG
This 432-nucleotide ribosomal RNA is filed under the name uncultured bacterium. RNAcentral's name for it is "partial 16S ribosomal RNA". It matches the Rfam family "Bacterial small subunit ribosomal RNA", at positions 29 to 507 of the family's 1533-position model. The record is from RNAcentral.